UAUUUCCCCUUCUCGAGCUCUGCCAAUUACUGACCUCACGGGCCGGGGCAAGUGGCGCCCAACGUGGGGCUCGAGACACGGGGUCUUCACCUGGUGGAUGCUGCUCAGAAGAUCGGCCGAUCGACUCAUAAGCAGUCCGCUCAGACCCACCCAUCUGAGAAAGUGACUGUGCAUAGCAAAUACGCUCAGACCCACCCAUCUGAGAAAGCGACCUGCGAGGUUUCCAAGGCCAAAAUGCCCUCAAGUGUGAAUUUCCGAUCCUUGCUUCCCCUGGUCUUCAUCAAAACUUC
This 290-nucleotide long non-coding RNA is filed under the name Fukomys damarensis (Damara mole-rat). RNAcentral describes it as "lncRNA (ENSFDAG00000030269.1)". Lineage: Eukaryota; Metazoa; Chordata; Mammalia; Rodentia; Bathyergidae. The record is from RNAcentral.